UGGGUCCUACGGGACGCAGCAGUGGGGAAUAUUGCACAAUGGGGGAAACCCUGAUGCAGCGACGCCGCGUGAGUGAAGAAGUAUUUCGGUAUGUAAAGCUCUGUCAGCAGGGAAGAAAAUGACGGUACCUGACCAAGAAGCCCCGGCUAACUACGUGCCAGCAGCCGCGGUAAUACGUAGGGGGCAAGCGUUAUCCGGAUUUACUGGGUGUAAAGGGAGCGUAGACGGCAGGGCAAGUCUGGAGUGAAAGGCGGGGGCUCAACCCCGGGACUGCUCUUGGAACUGCGGGGCUGGAGUGCAGGAGG
This 305-nucleotide ribosomal RNA is filed under the name uncultured bacterium. Its description in RNAcentral is "bacterial SSU rRNA". It matches the Rfam family "Bacterial small subunit ribosomal RNA", at positions 333 to 655 of the family's 1533-position model. The record is from RNAcentral.